Molecule: ribosomal RNA, 445 nt
Filed under: uncultured bacterium
Lineage: Bacteria
Description: bacterial SSU rRNA
Rfam family: Bacterial small subunit ribosomal RNA
Source: RNAcentral
CCAGACUCCUACGGGAGGCAGCAGUGGGGGAUAUUGCACAAUGGGGGAAACCCUGAUGCAGCGACGCCGCGUGGGUGAAGAAGUAUUUCGGUAUGUAAAGCCCUAUCAGCAGGGAAGAAAGAAGACGGUACCUGACUAAGAAGCCCCGGCUAACUACGUGCCAGCAGCCGCGGUAAUACGUAGGGGGCGAGCGUUAUCCGGAUUCACUGGGUGUAAAGGGAGCGUAGACGGCCGUGCAAGCCAGGAGUGAAAGCCCGGGGCCCAACCCCGGGACUGCUCUUGGAACUGUGCGGCUGGAGUGCGGGAGGGGCAGGCGGAAUUCCUGGUGUAGCGGUGAAAUGCGUAGAUAUCAGGAGGAACACCGGCGGCGAAGGCGGCUUACUGGACAGUGACUGACGUUGAGGCUCGAAAGCGUGGGGAGCGAACAGGAUUAGAUACCCGCGUA